CGCUUCUCUGAUGUUAGCGGCGGACGGGUGAGUAACACGUGGAUAACCUACCUAUAAGACUGGGAUAACUUCGGGAAACCGGAGCUAAUACCGGAUAAUAUUUUGAACCGCAUGGUUCAAAAGUGAAAGACGGUCUUGCUGUCACUUAUAGAUGGAUCCGCGCUGCAUUAGCUAGUUGGUAAGGUAACGGCUUACCAAGGCAACGAUGCAUAGCCGACCUGAGAGGGUGAUCGGCCACACUGGAACUGAGACACGGUCCAGACUCCUACGGGAGGCAGCAGUAGGGAAUCUUCCGCAAUGGGCGAAAGCCUGACGGAGCAACGCCGCGUGAGUGAUGAAGGUCUUCGGAUCGUAAAACUCUGUUAUUAGGGAAGAACAUAUGUGUAAGUAACUGUGCACAUCUUGACGGUACCUAAUCAGAAAGCCACGGCUAACUACGUGCCAGCAGCCGCGGUAAUACGUAGGUGGCAAGCGUUAUCCGGAAUUAUUGGGCGUAAAGCGCGCGUAGGCGGUUUUUUAAGUCUGAUGUGAAAGCCCACGGCUCAACCGUGGAGGGUCAUUGGAAACUGGAAAACUUGAGUGCAGAAGAGGAAAGUGGAAUUCCAUGUGUAGCGGUGAAAUGCGCAGAGAUAUGGAGGAACACCAGUGGCGAAGGCGACUUUCUGGUCUGUAACUGACGCUGAUGUGCGAAAGCGUGGGGAUCAAACAGGAUUAGAUACCCUGGUAGUCCACGCCGUAAACGAUGAGUGCUAAGUGUUAAGGGGGUUUCCGCCCCUUAGUGCUGCAGCUAACGCAUUAAGCACUCCGCCUGGGGAGUACGACCGCAAGGUUGAAACUCAAAGGAAUUGACGGGGACCCGCACAAGCGGUGGAGCAUGUGGUUUAAUUCGAAGCAACGCGAAGAACCUUACCAAAUCUUG
RNAcentral lists this ribosomal RNA (919 nucleotides) under Staphylococcus aureus. Its description in RNAcentral is "bacterial SSU rRNA". It matches the Rfam family "Bacterial small subunit ribosomal RNA", at positions 79 to 983 of the family's 1533-position model. The record is from RNAcentral. Lineage: Bacteria; Bacillati; Bacillota; Bacilli; Caryophanales; Staphylococcaceae.